UGGGGAAUCUUGGACAAUGGGGGCAACCCUGAUCCAGCCAUGCCGCGUGAGUGAUGAAGGCCUUAGGGUCGUAAAGCUCUUUCGCCUGUGAAGAUAAUGACGGUAGCAGGUAAAGAAACCCCGGCUAACUCCGUGCCAGCAGCCGCGGUAAUACGGAGGGGGUUAGCGUUGUUCGGAAUUACUGGGCGUAAAGCGCACGUAGGCGGACCAGAAAGUUGGGGGUGAAAUCCCGGGGGCUCAACCCCGGAACUGCCUCCAAAACUAUUGGUCUAGAGUUCGAGAGAGGUGAGUGGAAUUCCAAGUGUAGAGGUGAAAUUCGUAGAUAUUUGGAGGAACACCAGUGGCGAAGGCGGCUCACUGGCUCGAUACUGACGCUGAGGUGCGAAAGUGUGGGGAGCAAACAGGAUUAGAUACCCUGGUAGUCCACACCGUAAAACGAUGAAUGCCAGUCGUCGGGUAGCAUGCUAUUCGGUGACACACCUAACGGAUUAAGCAUUCCGCCUGGGGAGUACGGUCGCAAGAUUAAAACUCAAAAGGAAUU
This 541-nucleotide ribosomal RNA is filed under the name uncultured bacterium. Its description in RNAcentral is "bacterial SSU rRNA". It matches the Rfam family "Bacterial small subunit ribosomal RNA", at positions 355 to 911 of the family's 1533-position model. The record is from RNAcentral.